UGCAAAUUUAAGGAUUUAAUUCAAGUUCAAGAUUCGAAUUCAUAAAUUGGAGGGAAAAAGUACUUUUCUUAAGGAAGAUGUCACAAAUCAUAUUCAAAGACCUAUGUUUCAAUUACAAAGUCAUAAAAUUGCAUUACAAAAGUCAAAAUUAGAAAUUACAUAAGAAAAGACAUUUUUAACCUAAGGUUGACUUUUGGUCAACUGUUGACUUUAGGUUAAAUAGUUUACCAAAGUCAAACUGACCACCUAUUCUUUCAUUUCUCUUCAUCCUCAAGAUCUUCCAUUUUUAUGCCUCCAAGGUCUUCAAAAUCUCUUCAUGCUCUUGAUGUCAUGCCUAACCUUCAUGAUGCCAUGCCAAACCAAGUUUUGUGCACCCUAUAAAAUAUACAUUAACCCUACAACAAUGAAAAUGAGUUAGCAUCAUACACAACACUUGGCCCACAUUUCAUACACACAUGCCAAAUCAAGUCAUGACAAUAAUGCACACACAUUCAUAUAGUCCACGUUCUAAAAUUCAACAAGCAUACCAUAAGCACACAAGUCCAAUCUAUCAUGAUUCACCAUUCAAUCACUUAGCCAACUUAUCAUUCAAAUUAACACACCAAUUCCCAAAGAAGCCCAUCUAAAGCAUCAUCAACCAUCACUAUAUGUUUCCAACUUUUGAUUCAAUGCUAACCUCUAAAUUGUCAUUAGCAUUUUUUCUUUUUGUUCAUUAGCCAUAUAACUAACAAUAGCUUACCCAUUCAAACUGACUUCUAACUCCAAACAUCAAUUCAAAAUAAUAUUCCCUAUUUUCUUUGUUUAAAAUAAUUAUUUUACCUAAUUAAUAUUUCAUCUAAACCAACUCAACAUAACAACUUAGUCCAACUAACAUAAUCUCUAACUCCUACUAGCAUUCACUAACUACUAAUUACCAUAAUAGUUCAAACUAACUAUCAAGAUCAUUCCACUAACCUUUAAUCAAUUAGCAUUAACAACUCCAACAACCAAAACACUAACAUCAUAACAAUUCUAAUAUAACAAUCCAAACUAAUUUCUAACCAAAUCCUAGCGAACUCACUAACAGUUAACUAACCUAACUGUCAAAGUUUCUACAUCUAACAUAAACUAAUAGUUGACUACCCUAACUGUUUUUCAAACUACCACUAACCAUGAACCGAUUGACAUUAACAACAGUUAAAAUCCAACAGUUUCACAUAACAGUUCAAAUCCAUUCAUAACAAACAUCAACUAACUCGAGCUAAACUUGCAACCUAACUAACAUUUCCUAUUAAUUAAUUCAAUUAACUAACAGUUCCACUAAUCAAACUAACUAAUUACCAUAAUAGUCCAAUUAACAUCUCCUAGUUGUCAGAAUUCCUAAGUCCUAAUAUCAUUUAUCACUAAUAGUUCAGUUAACCUAAUAAUUAACAUUUCUAACUUCAAUUCAAACUAACAUUGUUAGUUAACUAUUAACUAACUUGGCCCAUGAAUCAACUACCUUCCAUCCAAUUUCACAGCUUCCCUAAAUCUCUAACCAGCUUGCCCUAAUAGUUAUCCAAUUCAGUUAUGAACUCCAUCUCCAAUCUCUCUAUUUAAACUCUCCCUUUGCAAUCACAAUAAACAAUUCACUCUGAUGCCAUUCACUCUUCUAAAUCUGCAAAUUCUCUCCACUCUCUUUUCUAACAACCACAAACACACCUACAACUCAAUCUUCCAUUGUUGAGCAAAACUUCACCUUGAAGUUUGGCUUCAACAGAGCUUAACCUCACCAAUCCUUUACACUCUUUUCACUCAAUAACAACAAUACAAUAAUUCCUAUAGGCUAUUCAUAGAAGAAGAAGAAUAAAAAAUCACUACAAGAAGCAAGGGAUUCAAGGUGAUUACCUGGCUAAACAUCAUCUGGUAUUUUCAAUGCAUUGUCUUCUUCAAGCGCUCCAACACUUCUAGAGUAUACCUCCACUCUGUAGGUAGGCUCGUUUCCAUUGUUUCUUCGUCGUUUUUCUUCAAACAAGUUACCAUGUGUUAGGAUUCCGAAGAAGGAAUGGAAGCCCUAGGGUAAUGGUUUAUGUUAUUGAAUUAUGGCCAUUUAAUUUUAGAUUAAAGAUUUAGGGUUCUUGGAGUUUUUAUGAGGGAUGGGAGAUUUUGAGUGAGUUUUAGACGAAAUAGGUAUGAGAGGUGAUUAGAGGAGGUAAAAAUAAAUCAAGUGGUGGUGGUUGUUUCCGUUUCUGGGUGGCUCUGCUGCCUCCGACACGACAUAUUGAUUUCCAACAAAUGGAGAUGCAAGAGGGGGAGAAGCGCAUGAUAGGAUUAAAAAUUAAAACGAAGGGAGUUUGGUUUCCUCAAUUUUGUUACCCUCACAAUCUUGGGAUUCAAAAUAAGCCCAAAGAUAUUUUACUGCCUGCACCUCAACAUUACUUACUCAAUUCCCUUUUCCAUGAAUUCAAACGAGAACAGAAGGGAG
RNAcentral lists this long non-coding RNA (2443 nucleotides) under Lathyrus oleraceus (garden pea). RNAcentral describes it as "Pisum sativum (pea) long non-coding RNA (PSAT_LNC001111)". Lineage: Eukaryota; Viridiplantae; Streptophyta; Magnoliopsida; Fabales; Fabaceae. The record is from RNAcentral.